GACGAACGCUGGCGGCGUGCUUAACACAUGCAAGUCGAACGGAAAGGCCCUGCUUUUGUGGGGUGCUCGAGUGGCGAACGGGUGAGUAACACGUGAGUAACCUGCCCUUGACUUUGGAAUAACUUCAGGAAACUGGGGCUAAUACCGGAUAGGAGCUCCUGCUGCAUGGUGGGGGUUGGAAAGUUUCGGCGGUUGGGGAUGGACUCGCGGCUUAUCAGCUUGUUGGUGGGGUAGUGGCUUACCAAGGCUUUGACGGGUAGCCGGCCUGAGAGGGUGACCGGCCACAUUGGGACUGAGAUACGGCCCAGACUCCUACGGGAGGCAGCAGUGGGGAAUAUUGCACAAUGGGCGGAAGCCUGAUGCAGCAACGCCGCGUGCGGGAUGACGGCCUUCGGGUUGUAAACCGCUUUCGCCUGUGACGAAGCGUGAGUGACGGUAAUGGGUAAAGAAGCACCGGCUAACUACGUGCCAGCAGCCGCGGUGAUACGUAGGGUGCGAGCGUUGUCCGGAUUUAUUGGGCGUAAAGGGCUCGUAGGUGGUUGAUCGCGUCGGAAGUGUAAUCUUGGGGCUUAACCCUGAGCGUGCUUUCGAUACGGGUUGACUUGAGGAAGGUAGGGGAGAAUGGAAUUCCUGGUGGAGCGGUGGAAUGCGCAGAUAUCAGGAGGAACACCAGUGGCGAAGGCGGUUCUCUGGGCCUUUCCUGACGCUGAGGAGCGAAAGCGUGGGGAGCGAACAGGCUUAGAUACCCUGGUAGUCCACGCUGUAAACGGUGGGUACUAGGUGUGGGGUCCAUUCCACGGGUUCCGUGCCGUAGCUAACGCUUUAAGUACCCCGCCUGGGGAGUACGGCCGCAAGGCUAAAACUCAAAGGAAUUGACGGGGCCCCGCACAAGCGGCGGAGCAUGCGGAUUAAUUCGAUGCAACGCGUAGAACCUUACCUGGGUUUGACAUGGAUCGGGAGUGCUCAGAGAUGGGUGUGCCUCUUUUGGGGUCGGUUCACAGGUGGUGCAUGGCUGUCGUCAGCUCGUGUCGUGAGAUGUUGGGUUAAGUCCCGCAACGAGCGCAACCCUUGUUCACUGUUGCCAGCACGUUAUGGUGGGGACUCAGUGGAGACCGCCGGGGUCAACUCGGAGGAAGGUGGGGAUGACGUCAAGUCAUCAUGCCCCUUAUGUCCAGGGCUUCACGCAUGCUACAAUGGCUGGUACAGAGAGUGGCGAGCCUGUGAGGGUGAGCGAAUCUCGGAAAGCCGGUCUCAGUUCGGAUUGGGGUCUGCAACUCGACCUCAUGAAGUCGGAGUCGCUAGUAAUCGCAGAUCAGCAACGCUGCGGUGAAUACGUUCCCGGGGCU
RNAcentral lists this ribosomal RNA (1346 nucleotides) under uncultured bacterium. Its description in RNAcentral is "partial 16S ribosomal RNA". It matches the Rfam family "Bacterial small subunit ribosomal RNA", at positions 28 to 1381 of the family's 1533-position model. The record is from RNAcentral.